Long non-coding RNA from Phragmites australis (common reed), 1073 nucleotides. RefSeq lists it as uncharacterized. The transcript is spliced from 3 exons. The record is from RefSeq and is a predicted model, not a curated record. Lineage: Eukaryota; Viridiplantae; Streptophyta; Magnoliopsida; Poales; Poaceae.
UCUAUCUGUCAGAAUAUGUGACGAAAUUGUUUUUCAAUCUGCUUCGAGUGCAUAAUGCAGGUAUAGCAUGGGGACUCGGCAAAAGUUAGCAGCUGAAUUUGGUUCCACACGAAACAGGCAGGGAAACCUUGGAAAGCAGCAUACAGCCAAUGUGACAGUAACAUUUUUACGAACUGAGAAAUAUUAUGAGGAACUAGCAAGCUCUGUUUUCUGUGGUGUCUUGCCAGGGGAUGGCUGGAGCGGGCGCCUGGAAGACAGCAUGCUUCAAGGAUGCAUUCCUGCCAUAAUUCAGGUGAUAUACCAUCAUUUUUCUUGUGUCGCGUAUCAAAGGACCAUAUAAUGUGUAUCUGGAAAGACUUAGGGACAUGACAGAACAUCUCAUCAUGUGUUCUCUUAUUCAGACCUAUCUGCUUUCUUGGCUUAAAUUGUAGGAUGGAAUUUUUCUGCCAUAUGAGAAUAUACUAAACUACAACAGUUUCGCAGUCCGCAUACAAGAAGAUAACAUUCCAGACCUUAUUAGAAUACUUCGAGGAAUAAACGAGACACAAGUUGAGCUUAUGUUGGGAAAUGUGCGCCAGAUGUGGCAGAGGUUUUUCUAUCGUGACUAUAUUGCUAGAGGCGAAGAGACAGAAAAGGUUGUUCUCUGAAGAGGCACCCUGGUCAGUUGAGGUCUCAAAACUAGAUGGUGAUGACGAUGUAUUUGCCACAUUUAUACAGGUAUUGCAUUAUAAACUAUACAAUGACCCUUGGCGGCAAGGUCUCCUGCAAACAAAGGAAACUGGGUUGCCGAACUUCUUCUCAAAAGCUUCCUGAAGUGCUGGACAGAGAUUGCAAUUGUAAAGAAUAGGCAUACUUUAGCUCCCUCACUUAAGAAAAGGAUAGACAUAAUCUUAGGAAGGAUCUAUAGAUUUUCUUACCUGCAGGAUACAUGGGGCUAGCGUUCUCAAAAGAGGAUGCAUGAGACCCAGAAAAUGAAAGAUACUCUAUUUGUGUUUAUUUUCAUUUCUUCAUGUUCUUUUGACCGAUAACCCGAGUUGGAUAAUUUCCUGGAAGAAAAGGGAGAUGGUGGCAGC